MicroRNA precursor from Gorilla gorilla gorilla (western lowland gorilla), 85 nucleotides. It matches the Rfam family "mir-3927 microRNA precursor family". The record is from Rfam. Lineage: Eukaryota; Metazoa; Chordata; Mammalia; Primates; Hominidae.
GCCAGUGUGCCAAUGCCUAUCAAAUAUCUACCUGCCAUGUUUGUCAUAGGACAGGUAGAUAUUUGAUAGGCAUUGGCACAUUGGG